GCAGGGCUUCAUAUAUAUGAGGUUGUUGGAAACAAGACACAUCCUGCUGGGCCGCCUGGUGCAGUGGUGAAGCAUCACAGGACUUCUGCCCAAAUACCCCGAAGCCCAUGAGAUGAAGAGGAUAUCUCAGAUGUGGCGUGAGGUGGACCAGAAACACAGGAGAACAUGUCUGGA
Long non-coding RNA from Sinocyclocheilus rhinocerous, 174 nucleotides. RefSeq lists it as uncharacterized. NCBI's taxonomy places the organism in Eukaryota, Metazoa, Chordata, Actinopteri, Cypriniformes, Cyprinidae. The record is from RefSeq and is a predicted model, not a curated record. The transcript has 3 exons.